This 1602-nucleotide ribosomal RNA is filed under the name Salmonella enterica. RNAcentral describes it as "partial 23S ribosomal RNA". It matches the Rfam family "Bacterial large subunit ribosomal RNA", at positions 1217 to 2801 of the family's 2925-position model. Lineage: Bacteria; Pseudomonadati; Pseudomonadota; Gammaproteobacteria; Enterobacterales; Enterobacteriaceae. The record is from RNAcentral.
UGUGUCGUUGGGUAGGGGAGCGUUCUGUAAGCCUGCGAAGGUGUGCUGUGAGGCAUGCUGGAGGUAUCAGAAGUGCGAAUGCUGACAUAAGUAACGAUAAUGCGGGUGAAAAACCCGCACGCCGGAAGACCAAGGGUUCCUGUCCAACGUUAAUCGGGGCAGGGUGAGUCGACCCCUAAGGCGAGGCCGAAAGGCGUAGUCGAUGGGAAACGGGCUAAUAUUCCCGUACCUGGUGUUACUGCGAAGGGGGGACGGAGAAGGCUAUGUUGGCCGGGCGACGGUUGUCCCGGUUUAAGCGUGCAGGUGUGUGUUCCAGGAAAAUCCGGUUCACUUUAACACUGAGGCGUGACGACGAGGCACUACGGUGCUGAAGCAACAAAUGCCCUGCUUCCAGGAAAAGCCUCUAAGCCUCAGGUAACAUCAGAUCGUACCCGAAACCGACACAGGUGGUCAGGUAGAGAAUACCAAGGCGCUUGAGAGAACCCGGGUGAAGGAACUAGGCAAAAUGGUGCCGUAACUUCGGGAGAAGGCACGCUGACACGUAGGUGAAGCGGUUUACCCGUGGAGCUGAAGUCAGUCGAAGAUACCAGCUGGCUGCAACUGUUUAUUAAAAACACAGCACUGUGCAAACACGAAAGUGGACGUAUACGGUGUGACGCCUGCCCGGUGCCGGAAGGUUAAUUGAUGGGGUCAGCGCAAGCGAAGCUCCUGAUCGAAGCCCCGGUAAACGGCGGCCGUAACUAUAACGGUCCUAAGGUAGCGAAAUUCCUUGUCGGGUAAGUUCCGACCUGCACGAAUGGCGUAAUGAUGGCCAGGCUGUCUCCACCCGGGACUCAGUGAAAUUGAACUCGCUGUGAAGAUGCAGUGUACCCGCGGCAAGACGGAAAGACCCCGUGAACCUUUACUAUAGCUUGACACUGAACACUGGUCCUUGAUGUGCAGGAUAGGUGGGAGGCUUUGAAGUGUGGACGCCAGUCUGCAUGGAGCCGUCCUUGAAAUACCACCCUUUAAUGGCUGGUGUUCUAACGUAGACCCGUGAACCGGGUUGCGGACAGUGUCUGGUGGGUAGUUUGACUGGGGCGGUCUCCUCCUAAAGCGUAACGGAGGAGCACGAAGGUUGGCUAAUCCUGGUCGGACAUCAGGAGGUUAGUGCAAUGGCAUAAGCCAGCUUGACUGCGAGCGUGACGGCGCGAGCAGGUGCGAAAGCAGGUCAUAGUGAUCCGGUGGUUCUGAAUGGAAGGGCCAUCGCUCAACGGAUAAAAGGUACUCCGGGGAUAACAGGCUGAUACCGCCCAAGAGUUCAUAUCGACGGCGGUGUUUGGCACCUCGAUGUCGGCUCAUCACAUCCUGGGGCUGAAGUAGGUCCCAAGGGUAUGGCUGUUCGCCAUUUAAAGUGGUACGCGAGCUGGGUUUAGAACGUCGUGAGACAGUUCGGUCCCUAUCUGCCGUGGGCGCUGGAGAACUGAGGGGGGCUGCUCCUAGUACGAGAGGACCGGAGUGGACGCAUCACUGGUGUUCGGGUUGUCAUGCCAAUGGCACUGCCCGGUAGCUAAAUGCGGAAGAGAUAAGUGCUGAAAGCAUCUAAGCACGAAACUUGCCCCG